Small nucleolar RNA from Pongo abelii (Sumatran orangutan), 104 nucleotides. NCBI's taxonomy places the organism in Eukaryota, Metazoa, Chordata, Mammalia, Primates, Hominidae. The record is from Ensembl.
AUCCUUUUGUAGUUCAUGAGCGUGAUGAUUGGGUGUUUCACGCACGUGUGUGCGAUGUGCCACCCUCGAACCUUGUAUGACAUCGGCACGUUACCCAUCUGACC